RNAcentral lists this unclassified non-coding RNA (332 nucleotides) under soil metagenome. RNAcentral's name for it is "partial contains 5.8S ribosomal RNA, internal transcribed spacer 2, and large subunit ribosomal RNA". The stretch from base 1 to 120 matches the Rfam family "5.8S ribosomal RNA", at positions 35 to 154 of the family's 154-position model. The record is from RNAcentral.
GAUGUAGAACGCAGCGAAAUGCGAUAAGUAAUGUGAAUUGCAGAAUUCAGUGAAUCAUCGAAUCUUUGAACGCACAUUGCGCCCGCCAGUAUUCUGGCGGGCAUGCCUGUCCGAGCGUCAUUUCAACCAUCAAGCCCCGGGCUUGUGUUGGGGACCUGCGUCCGACGCAGGCCCUGAAAACCAGUGGCGGGCUCGCUGUCCACACCGAGCGUAGUAACUAACCUCGCUAUGGAGUGGCGCGGGCGCCUGCCGUAAAACCCCCAAUUUCACAAGGUUGACCUCGGAUCAGGUAGGAAUACCCGCUGAACUUAAGCAUAUCAAUAAGCGGAGGA